GACGAACGCUGGCGGCGUGCCUAAUACAUGCAAGUAGAACGCUGAAGGAGGAGCUUGCUUCUCUGGAUGAGUUGCGAACGGGUGAGUAACGCGUAGGUAACCUGCCUGGUAGCGGGGGAUAACUAUUGGAAACGAUAGCUAAUACCGCAUAAUAGCAGUUGUUGCAUGAUAACUGUUUGAAAGGUGCAAUUGCACCACUACCAGAUGGACCUGCGUUGUAUUAGCUAGUUGGUGGGGUAACGGCUCACCAAGGCGACGAUACAUAGCCGACCUGAGAGGGUGAUCGGCCACACUGGGACUGAGACACGGCCCAGACUCCUACGGGAGGCAGCAGUAGGGAAUCUUCGGCAAUGGACGGAAGUCUGACCGAGCAACGCCGCGUGAGUGAAGAAGGUUUUCGGAUCGUAAAGCUCGGUUGUAAGAGAAGAACGAGUGUGAGAGUGGAAAGUUCACACUGUGACGGUAUCUUACCAGAAAGGGACGGCUAACUACGUG
RNAcentral lists this ribosomal RNA (495 nucleotides) under uncultured bacterium. Its description in RNAcentral is "partial 16S ribosomal RNA". It matches the Rfam family "Bacterial small subunit ribosomal RNA", at positions 28 to 507 of the family's 1533-position model. The record is from RNAcentral.